Long non-coding RNA from Manacus vitellinus (golden-collared manakin), 491 nucleotides. RefSeq lists it as uncharacterized. Lineage: Eukaryota; Metazoa; Chordata; Aves; Passeriformes; Pipridae. The record is from RefSeq and is a predicted model, not a curated record. The transcript is spliced from 4 exons.
GCCCUUCCAAGCAAUAGAAUUCUAUGUUAUCAUUCUCCCAAGGCAGAGUGGAGGUAUAGAGCAGCUAUGUCAGUCAGCAACUUCUGUGCCAAGAAAUGGGGAAGAGUUGCUUUAAGGCCACAAGAUCGUUAUGCAGUCAUCAGACUUCCAUGUGGGAGGUGGGUGGACUAACACAGAGCUCACUGCUGAACUACUGAACUUGGCAGCUCCCUGGCUCCUGCACAUGCAAAACAUUUGAAUUUCCUGUUGGCUCAGAGAAUUGCAGCAUCACAGAAUAGGCCAAGUUGGAAGAGACCCACAAGAAUCAUCGAGUGCAACUCCCACCCCUGCCCAGAACCAUCCCCAAGAGUCACACCAGGUGCCUGAAAGUAUUGUCCAAACAUUUCUUGAACUCUGUUGGGCUUUGUGCUGUGACCACCUCUCUGAGAAGACUUUUCCAACACCCAACCACCCUCUGGGUGAAGAACCACUUUCUAGUAUCCAACCUAAAC